CCCCCCGCCCGCCAGGGGCGGCGGGCCCUACGAACCUUUGUAUCUCAACCACUAGAAAACCGUCUGAGGAAAAAACAAAAUAAUCAAAACUUUCAACAACGGAUCUCUUGGCUCUGGCAUCGAUGAAGAACGCAGCGAAAUGCGAUACGUAAUGUGAAUUGCAGAAUUCAGCGAACCAUCGAAUCUUUGAACGCACAUUGCGCCCGCCAGCAUUCUGGCGGGCAUGCCUGUCCGAGCGUCAUUUCCCCCCUCACGCGCCCCGUUGCGCGCUGGUGUUGGGGCGCCCUCCGCCUGGCGGGGGGCCCCCGAAAGCGAGUGGCGGGCCCUGUGGAAGGCUCCGAGCGCAGUACCGAACGCAUGUUCUCCCCUCGCUCCGGACGCCCCCCAGGCGCCCUGCCGUGAAACGUCGCAUGACGCGCAGCUGCUUUUUACAGGUUGACCUCGGAUCAGGUA
Molecule: unclassified non-coding RNA, 453 nt
Filed under: Sporothrix schenckii
Lineage: Eukaryota; Fungi; Ascomycota; Sordariomycetes; Ophiostomatales; Ophiostomataceae
Description: sequence contains 18S rRNA gene, ITS1, 5.8S rRNA gene, ITS2, 28S rRNA gene
Rfam family: 5.8S ribosomal RNA (bases 88-241)
Source: RNAcentral